RNAcentral lists this ribosomal RNA (248 nucleotides) under uncultured Lachnospiraceae bacterium. RNAcentral's name for it is "partial 16S ribosomal RNA". It matches the Rfam family "Bacterial small subunit ribosomal RNA", at positions 524 to 771 of the family's 1533-position model. Lineage: Bacteria; Bacillati; Bacillota; Clostridia; Lachnospirales; Lachnospiraceae. The record is from RNAcentral.
UACAUAGGGGGCGAGCGUUAUCCGGAAUUAUUGGGCGUAAAGCGUGCGUAGGCGGCUUUUUAAGUCUGUCGUGAAAGCCCACAGCUUAACUGUGGAGGGUCGAUGGAAACUGGAGAGCUUGAAUCUAGAAGAGGUAAGUGGAAUUCCAUGUGUAGCGGUAAAAUGCUUAGAUAUAUGGAGGAACACCAGUAGCGAAGGCGGCUUACUGGUCUAGAAUUGACGCUGAGGCACGAAAGCGUGGGUAGCAA